GGGUGGCUGAUUAAUUAGGAUAAUUGCUGAGAAUUUAGAGGCUCAGAGAGCACGUGACUUUUUGAAUGGGGGUUUUAGUUUUAUAUGUAGGCAGGCACGUAUCAUGCUAUGCCUGCCUACAAUGGGAACCUUAUAUGUGGA
Molecule: non-coding RNA, 141 nt
Organism: Caenorhabditis elegans
Lineage: Eukaryota; Metazoa; Nematoda; Chromadorea; Rhabditida; Rhabditidae
Source: Ensembl